This 111-nucleotide ribosomal RNA is filed under the name Ruminococcus flavefaciens. Its description in RNAcentral is "23S rRNA. Bacterial LSU". It matches the Rfam family "Bacterial large subunit ribosomal RNA", at positions 2810 to 2925 of the family's 2925-position model. The record is from RNAcentral. Lineage: Bacteria; Bacillati; Bacillota; Clostridia; Eubacteriales; Oscillospiraceae.
UAUCCCUUCGUAAGAGUAAGACCUCUCAAAGACUAUGAGUUUGAUAGGCUCAAAGUGUAAGCGUGGUGACACGUUCAGCUUGCGAGUACUAAUCGGUCGAGGGCUUUUCCU